Molecule: long non-coding RNA, 477 nt
Filed under: Homo sapiens (human)
Lineage: Eukaryota; Metazoa; Chordata; Mammalia; Primates; Hominidae
Description: non-protein coding lnc-FAM83E-2:1
Source: RNAcentral
CUCCCUGGAUUCCAGGUCGAGGCCUGAUGAGUGAGGCCAGAAGCCGGGAAGCACCGCAGAAGUAGAAGCCGGGGAGCCACAGCCUACGUUCUCGGAAAAAGCAGGCACUGGAAGGGAGGCCAUUGAGCCCGGCACUAGCCGGUGUGGCUCCCUGCUGUGGUCUGGAGGAAGCAGCGGCCUGGGUUGGUGGGAUUGGAAUGAAGGGCUUCUGGUUUGCAGGGAUCAAGGGUCCAGGGUCCCCGAGGUUGGGUCAGGAGCCUCAAGGGGAUAACUGAGGCUUGGGAGGGAGACAGGGCGAGAUAGAGACUGGCCCCUGUCCGGGAAGAAGCGUCCGGGCCCCAGGCAGGGGCAGCCAGCCUGAGGAGGGUGGCUGGUUAGGUGGCACUCACACCUAGAUGGGCUGUGAAGAUCAUAGACCUGUCCCAUAGUAAUGGAGACCCCUGUAGCGCAUUUCACCCUCCACUGCAGCAGCUGGAA